UUCUUUCCUAGCUAACUGUACCAUCACUGC
Molecule: non-coding RNA, 30 nt
Filed under: Homo sapiens (human)
Lineage: Eukaryota; Metazoa; Chordata; Mammalia; Primates; Hominidae
Source: RNAcentral